AGGAGCAAACAAAUUAAAUACUUACGGUACCAGAAGGCAUCACUAGUUCCCUUCUAGGACUCAACUUUAAUACAUUCGUUGGAGCAGAAGGGCAACCACAGGAACAUAACAAAUCUGCCAACAGUAAAUUUCAUUUCCAUCAUUAAAACCCAACGUUUGUAGAUUCAAGAGGCAUUCAAUAGUUCCCUGCUCGGACUCCAUCAUUGAAAUCAGACACUUAUAGUAC
RNAcentral lists this long non-coding RNA (226 nucleotides) under Linum usitatissimum (flax). RNAcentral describes it as "long non-coding RNA (LUSI_LNC000303)". Lineage: Eukaryota; Viridiplantae; Streptophyta; Magnoliopsida; Malpighiales; Linaceae. The record is from RNAcentral.